CGGGGUGCAGCAGGCGCGAAAACUCUACAAUGCAGGCAACUGCGAUAGGGGAACAUCGAGCGAUCCUCAUAUUGGGGGUCUGUCCCACCGUCUAAAAAACGGUGGUUAGCAAGGGCCGGGCAAGACCGGUGCCAGCCGCCGCGGUAAUACCGGCGGCUCGAGUGGUGGCCGAUAUUAUUGAGUCUAAAGGGUCCGUAGCCGGCUUUGCAAGUCUCUCGGGAAAUCCAGCGGCUUAACCGUUGGUCGUCCGGGGGGUACUACAUUGCUUGGGACUGGGAGAGGUAGGAGGUACUCAGGGGGUAGGAGUGAAAUCCUGUAAUCCUCUGGGGACCACCGGUGGCGAAGGCGUCCUACCAGAACAGGUCCGACGGUGAGGGACGAAAGCUAGGGGCACGAACCGGAUUAGAUACCCGGGUAGUCCUAGCCGUAAACGAUGCUCGCUAGGUGUCACAACAGUCGUGAAUUGAUGUGGUGCCGUAGGGAAGCCGUGAAGCGAGCCACUUGGGAAGUACGACCGCAAGGUUGAAACUUAAAGGAAUUGGCGGGGGAGCACAAGGGCGAAUCGCGG
Molecule: ribosomal RNA, 568 nt
Filed under: uncultured archaeon
Lineage: Archaea
Description: bacterial SSU rRNA
Rfam family: Archaeal small subunit ribosomal RNA
Source: RNAcentral